GCGCCUGUAGCUCAGUGGAUAGAGCACCGGUCUUCGGAACCAGGUGUCGGGGGUUCGAAUCCCUCCAGGCGUGCCA
RNAcentral lists this transfer RNA (76 nucleotides) under Dehalococcoidia bacterium. RNAcentral's name for it is "tRNA-Arg". It matches the Rfam family "tRNA". From Rfam's summary of the family: Transfer RNA (tRNA) molecules are approximately 80 nucleotides in length. Their secondary structure includes four short double-helical elements and three loops (D, anti-codon, and T loops). Further hydrogen bonds mediate the characteristic L-shaped molecular structure. tRNAs have two regions of fundamental functional importance: the anti-codon, which is responsible for specific mRNA codon recognition, and the 3' end, to which the tRNAs corresponding amino acid is attached (by aminoacyl-tRNA synthetases). tRNAs cope with the degeneracy of the genetic code in two manners: having more than one tRNA (with a specific anti-codon) for a particular amino acid; and 'wobble' base-pairing, i.e. permitting non-standard base-pairing at the 3rd anti-codon position. Lineage: Bacteria; Bacillati; Chloroflexota; Dehalococcoidia. The record is from RNAcentral.